ACAGAUUGGUACAAAGAUAGCUUUUAAUAUAAAUACAAAGCUUCAACAUCUAAAAAAGUAUUUUAUUUGAAAAAAUCCCUAAUCUUGCAAGCUAGAUUGAGGUUUUCGAGCUUAGUAUCCAUGGCAGAAACAGAACACAAGCGUUUCAUCUGAUGACUGGAAUCUUGAACUCAGACAAGACAGAAGGUACAAGGAGAGACCUCCACUGUGUUUCUCCUCCAUCGGGUUAUACCACAAAAGAACAAUCCUUGGAAAAUUGGAUCCACAACAACAAACAAAUUUGGUUGGAGAGAGGUAAGGAUUGGGUUCGAGUAAAGAAGAAGAAGAGAACAAUGGGUUGGGUUGCUUUUUUUUUUUUUUUUUGAGUCAAAUAGUUUGGUUUAAUUAAAAUUUUAAUUUAAAACUGAGUUUUGGUUUGCUUUAAAUGGUUAAUAUUAUUGGUAAGUAGUAAACCGAUUAAAAUUAUGGUUUAUGUAUAAUUAAAUUUUAAACUAUCAGUUCGGGGUGAAAUAAGAUUAUAACUUUUAAUUCAGAGAGAAAUACAUUUACAAUAUUCAUUUCAUGGACAUAGAGCAUGAUGUCAUGGUUUGGUGGACAUCUAAUGCUAUAUGAUAGUUCUCGUGGGAAAAUAACACGUUUACCCGAUAAUAUAUAAUGUUAAUUGACUAUUGUUAUUUUGUUGAUGUUUCAAGAGCAGUAAUUGUUUCUUAUAACUUCAAUCUCACUGAAAUUCUUUUUGAUCCAAAACUAUAAGAAGUGUUUGAUUUCAAAUUAAAGUUACCUAAUGAUGAUUUCAUUAUUUCUAGAGAAGACUUUGAUCUAUACCUUUUAAAAUAGAUUUACAUUUUUUUCCGUUAUUACUCCAAUAAAAAUUUUAAGCAGAAAGAAUGUAUCGAAUGAGGCAUGUUGUGCUUAUUAAAUAUUUUGGUUAUAACCCUCGAUUCUUAUUUUUUUUUUUAAUUUAACAUCUGCUCUUAUUCAAAACAUUAUAUAAAAAAGCAACUCUAAAACUACCGAACUUGAGGCAAGAAAAAAAAUUAAAAAAAUAUCACCACUCUUCGAUUCAACUUUCAAAUAAUUCAACUUUCAAAUAGAAGAAUUGUGUUUAAACCUACAAGCCAUUAGAAUUGACUUAAAUCGAAUAAAACACACAAAAAUGAAUUUAUUAUGUAUAUAUAAUUAAAUAAAAUAGUUUGAAUACAAAAACUAAUAUUACUUUUUUUAUUGAGAAUACUAGGGUAGGCCCGUCCUACGGGCGGGAUUUAAUGGAUCAGCUUUUUAUAAAAGAUGUAAUUUUAUGUAGAUUUCCUUUUAUGUUAAGAUGAUUGUGAAUAUGCUUAUGUUGGCUACAAUAAAUUAUAAUUAUAUAACUAAAAAUUAUCGCAUUCUUAUUAUUUUUGCUGUUUUAAUUAUAAAUUAUAAGAUUUUUAUAGUGUUUCAGUUUUAUAACACUAUAAAAUACAUAAAUCAAUCAUCAAAAGAAAAUAAGAUUCAUAUUUCUAAAACCAUUGUAUUUAUUUUAUCUUGUGAGGGUAUAUGAAAUAGUGGAGAAUGUUAUUUUUAUUUAGAGGAAUUUUUUGUCAUGAUUAUUGUAGUUGUUUUUUAUAAUGUUAGUAAUAUAUAGUGGAGAAUGAUAUUUUCAAUGGUAUUUGAAAACUCGAUUUCAUUCUCUUCUGAAUGAUUUCGAUUGAUUUAUAUAUUUUAUGGUGUUAUAAUACUUAAAACACUAUAAAAUCUUACAACUCUAAAUUAUUAAUAGCAAUAAAUUAAGAAUUCAGUCAUUUUUAGUUUUAUAAUUAGAAUUUAGUGUAGACAACAUAUCUUUAAAUCAUUCUCCUCUUGUUAAAUAAAUUUCUAUAUAAAUAAUUAUGGUUGUUUGAAAACAGCAAUGUAAAUCUUUGUUUAUAUAAGAUAUUAGGACAUUAGGUGUUACAGACAAUAAUUAUAAUUAUUUGAAUGAAGCAAUGUUAGAUCUUAUUUUUCCAAACUAAUUUUCGAAAAUUAUAUGUAUUGUAUAUGUAAUAAUUAUUACUUAUACUUUUCCUUUUCCAAAACAAUCUGUGAUACACUCUUUUUCUCAGCAUAAGUUUAACAAAAUGUGGAUAUGGUAACCGGUUUUUUAAAUUAAAUUUUGUAUUUUGAAACUUAUAUAUUUUCAUUGAAUUAUUAUUUUUGAAUAAAUUUCCACCAUUCUUAAGAUAUAUUAUGUAUUCUAACUAAAAAUGUAUUGUUUAUUAUAUUUUUUUAUUUUUUCAAACUGAUUGUUUGAUUUUUAAUUAUUAAUAAAUUUUUGGAUAUGAUUUUUCAUUAUAAUUUUUGGUUCUUUUUUUUUGUUGGCGUAGGUUUGAUAAAAUGUUAACAAUAACUUCAGUUGAUUUUUUUUGUUCUUAUUAACUUGCUCUAUUUAUUUCCACAUUUUAUGUAUUUUGGAUUAUUUUAUGCAUUUUCAUUAAAUGCCUUAUCUAUAUCAGAUAGAAAACUUGGUGGGCUAUUCGGUUUGAUACAAUAUCCUUUAAAUUUUUCAUUUGGUUGUAACAGUAGCGUAGACACAUCUUUGUUAUUUAAUUUUAUUUUAAACACAAAAUUCUAUGUUUUUUUUUAUUUGGUCUAAAUAAGUAGUAAAAUUACAAACACAUGGAAACAAAUUUCUGGGAAUAAAAUUGUGUGUAAGCAUUAACUGUAUAUAUCCUAAGUCUACGAAGAUUUAAACAUAGAAAAAGGAGAAUUCAAAAUCAAAUCUGCUUCCUCACUAUAUUCCAGUUCGUCGUCGUGUUCAGCUAAUCAACCAAAGUCAAUUGAAACAAAAUUCAUGGAAAAUAAAUCAACAUGAUUUCCUUGUAUUUAGUUAAAAAAAAUAGAGCUCACAUAGCAAUCCACUGAAAACAUAUCCUAACAUUUUAGACGUCGCUAAAUUUACUAAUAUUUUUUAGAAGUCUCAAAAUGGUAAUUUCCUACCACAACAGUAAAAAGCUUAUUGUCGUCAUCAACCACUUUCUCUAAAGUAGUCAUGACAUCAAAUUAAUCAGCUUCGGUGUACUAAUGCAUGUCUUAAACCUCUUUAUUAGUGAACAUUUAUUUGUUAUUUAAUAGUCUUUCUUUCGUAUACAUAAACCAUAUCUUUGGUUGCCAUAAGAAUAAUUUAGCUUUAAAUAGAUAAUCUUUUAAAAACACUAUGUAGUUUACCUAAGCUUUUAAGUUUAGUAAACCAUGCUAUUGACCAAAUAAAAUUCUAACGUUUCUAUGUUUUCAGUUUUUAUAACUUAUUUUGGCUUGUGAACAAUAAUACGAUGGCUUUGGCAUCUGAGAUUCCUGCUCACAACUAAAAUUUGAGUUUCCAAGUAGAAAAAUAAACACACAUACAGUACUUUUGCGCUUCUCUCUCUCUUCACCUGCGACACAUUUAGCUUAUCCAUCUCCUUCUCUAAAUCUUAGAUUUCACCCCGUUCGAGUUGUAACCCAAGUUGUUCUUUCCGUCUCUGGCAACUCAAUCGCAUGUUUUGCUGAUACAUCUUUUACAUUAUGUGCCUUCUCCUCAAGCUGUGCUUUUUGUCCCUGUAGCUCAAACACCGGUGGGAGGAGUGGGGCUUUCAAGUUAAUAUACAAAUUUACAAAAACUAUGAUCAGGUCUAUAAAUAUUGAACUACCUUGCGAAUAUGGUUUGCAAUCUCGAGGAUUUUGAAAUACCUUGCGAAUAUGGUUUGCAAUUCGAGGAUUGAGGGUAGCUUUUGCUCUGAUAGUAAUGGGGUGGUAGCAAUCUCAAGGGAUGUUUUUUUUAUUGAUAGUUAGUUCAGAUAUAGCAAUUGAAACAAAAUCGAUGAAAAUUUCCUGUUGUUUUAGUUUAAACAACGAUUAAGCACUUUGAGAUUUGGCUGUAAGGAAAUGAUAAAGAACCUAA
This is a long non-coding RNA of Brassica rapa (field mustard), 3895 nucleotides long. RefSeq lists it as uncharacterized. NCBI's taxonomy places the organism in Eukaryota, Viridiplantae, Streptophyta, Magnoliopsida, Brassicales, Brassicaceae. The record is from RefSeq and is a predicted model, not a curated record.